UCCUCGUUAGUAUAGUGGUAGUAUGCCCGUCUGUCGCACGGGAGACCGGGGUUCGAUUCCCCGACGAGGAG
This 71-nucleotide transfer RNA is filed under the name Columbid alphaherpesvirus 1. RNAcentral describes it as "Columbid herpesvirus 1 tRNA". It matches the Rfam family "tRNA". From Rfam's summary of the family: Transfer RNA (tRNA) molecules are approximately 80 nucleotides in length. Their secondary structure includes four short double-helical elements and three loops (D, anti-codon, and T loops). Further hydrogen bonds mediate the characteristic L-shaped molecular structure. tRNAs have two regions of fundamental functional importance: the anti-codon, which is responsible for specific mRNA codon recognition, and the 3' end, to which the tRNAs corresponding amino acid is attached (by aminoacyl-tRNA synthetases). tRNAs cope with the degeneracy of the genetic code in two manners: having more than one tRNA (with a specific anti-codon) for a particular amino acid; and 'wobble' base-pairing, i.e. permitting non-standard base-pairing at the 3rd anti-codon position. Lineage: Duplodnaviria; Heunggongvirae; Peploviricota; Herviviricetes; Herpesvirales; Orthoherpesviridae. The record is from Rfam by way of RNAcentral.